Long non-coding RNA from Trichomycterus rosablanca, 833 nucleotides. RefSeq lists it as uncharacterized. NCBI's taxonomy places the organism in Eukaryota, Metazoa, Chordata, Actinopteri, Siluriformes, Trichomycteridae. The record is from RefSeq and is a predicted model, not a curated record. The transcript is spliced from 3 exons.
UUUUGAUGAUUUGGAUCUUGGAAAACUUUGAGCUUUUCUUCUCUGACUGCUGCAGACGGCAUUUUUUAAGACUGCACUUAAUGCCGCCAACCAGUGACUGGACCAAAUACGACCGAAGUCAUGCACACAGUAUGUAGUGCUGAGGGAAUCAUACGAACUAUUAUGUGAACGGAGACGUUGUAAUUGUUAAACAUAGUUUUUUUAGACCGUGCUUAUGUACCGUAUACAGACAGUACUUUCUUUACUGGUCUGUUUGUGUAUACUGGCCUGUGAUGAUUGGUCGCUCACUGUGUCAGACUGAGCUACAGCACUGGUCUCCUACUAUACUGUAUUAGACUGUUAAUUAAUAAUAAUCACUGUACCUUAUCUAGGUAGCUAAAUAUAUAUCAUUGAUUUGUAAACCUUGUACAGGAGAGCUUCGGAUAAACAACAGUUCUGCUGAACUCUGUACCAACUUCACCAGCAGAAAAACACAUUUUUUGGAGAUGACUUUCAUGCUGAAAUAUUGUGGAUAGGUCGCACGAUGCUAAACUCUAGUCUUCCAUUACCCAUUAGCUUCAUUAGCCUCAGACACAGUGUGCCUAGGUCGAUCUGCUCCAUGUGCGAUCUCUGACUGGCACCACGCCUGCGUGCGCCCUUCAUCCGUAACCAUCCUCGAUACGGAACGUUUCAGUAGAUGAGCUGUGGACAGUAUAGACUCGCAUUCGGAUCAUUCUUUUCUACCGUGCUUUACUGCUUAUAUACUUGUAUGUUCAAUUAUUUACUCUGCGUAUUGUAAUCUAAGAUACCCAUGUACUGUUUCCUACUUUGUGAAAUAUAUUUUUAUAAAUACA